AGUGGGGAAUUUUGGACAAUGGGCGAAAGCCUGAUCCAGCCAUUCCGCGUGAGUGAAGAAGGCCUUCGGGUUGUAAAGCUCUUUCGGCAGGAACGAAACGGUGUGGGCUAAUAUCCUGCAUCAAUGACGGUACCUGAAGAAGAAGCACCGGCUAACUACGUGCCAGCAGCCGCGGUAAUACGUAGGGUGCGAGCGUUAAUCGGAAUUACUGGGCGUAAAGCGUGCGCAGGCGGUUGUUUAAGACAGAUGUGAAAUCCCCGGGCUUAACCUGGGAACUGCGUUUGUGACUGGACAGCUGGAGUGCGGAAGAGGGGGGUGGAAUUCCACGUGUAGCAGUGAAAUGCGUAGAGAUGUGGAGGAACACCGAUGGCGAAGGCAGCCCCCUGGGUCGACACUGACGCUCAUGCACGAAAGCGUGGGGAGCAAACAGGAUUAGAUACCCUGGUAGUCCACGCCCUAAACGAUGCGAACUAGGUGUUGGGGAAGGAGACUUUCUUAGUACCGCAGCUAACGCGUGA
This 518-nucleotide ribosomal RNA is filed under the name uncultured bacterium. Its description in RNAcentral is "bacterial SSU rRNA". It matches the Rfam family "Bacterial small subunit ribosomal RNA", at positions 353 to 862 of the family's 1533-position model. The record is from RNAcentral.